GUAAUCGAGUGGCCGGAGGCCGCGGGACAAGUUGGGGGUCGUGCGUUUAUCGUAAGUACUGGGCCUAAGGCGUGUGCAGGCGGUUUUGCAAGCCGGAGGUGAAAUCCCCGGGCUUAACCUGGGAAGGGCAUUUGGGACUGCAAGGCUGGAGUGCGGGAGAGGAGACUGGAAUUCCUGGUGUAGCAGUGAAAUGCGUAGAUAUCAGGAGGAAUACCGAUGGCGAAGGCGGCUCUCUGGGACGGUACUGACGCUGAGACGCGAAAGCGUGGGGAGCGAACAGGAUUAGAUACCCCUGUAGUC
RNAcentral lists this ribosomal RNA (300 nucleotides) under uncultured Bacillus sp. RNAcentral's name for it is "bacterial SSU rRNA". It matches the Rfam family "Bacterial small subunit ribosomal RNA", at positions 496 to 795 of the family's 1533-position model. Lineage: Bacteria; Bacillati; Bacillota; Bacilli; Caryophanales; Bacillaceae. The record is from RNAcentral.